RNAcentral lists this ribosomal RNA (522 nucleotides) under Mycoplasma haemofelis. Its description in RNAcentral is "bacterial SSU rRNA". It matches the Rfam family "Bacterial small subunit ribosomal RNA", at positions 424 to 967 of the family's 1533-position model. The record is from RNAcentral. Lineage: Bacteria; Bacillati; Mycoplasmatota; Mollicutes; Mycoplasmatales; Mycoplasmataceae.
UGUAAAGUUCUUUUACGAGGGAUAAUUAUGAUAGUACUUCGUGAAUAAGUGACAGCAAACUAUGUGCCAGCAGCUGCGGUAAUACAUAGGUCGCGAGCAUUAUUCGGAUUUAUUGGGCGUAAAGCAAGCGCAGGCGGAUGUGUAAGUUCUGUGUUAAAUGCAGCUACUCAAUAGUUGUAUGCACCGAAUACUACAUGUCUAGAUUGUGGUAGGGAGUUUCGGAAUUAAGCAUGGAGCGGUGGAAUGUGUAGAUAUGCUUAAGAACACCAGAGGCGAAGGCGGAAACUUAGGCCAUAAAUGACGCUUAGGCUUGAAAGUGUGGGGAGCAAAUGGGAUUAGAUACCCCAGUAGUCCACACCGUAAACGAUGGGUAUUAGAUAUUAGGGCUUUAGCUUUAGUGUUGUAGCUUACGCGUUAAAUACCCCGCCUGGGUAGUACAUAUGCAAAUAUGAAACUCAAAGGAAUUGACGGGGACCUGAACAAGUGGUGGAGCAUGUUGCUUAAUUCGAUAAUACACGAAAA